CCUACGGGAGGCAGCAGUGGGGAAUUUUGGACAAUGGGCGAAAGCCUGAUCCAGCCAUGCCGCGUGAGUGAAGAAGGCCUUCGGGUUGUAAAGCUCUUUUAGUCGGAAAGAAAGAGUUGCAAUGAAUAAUUGUGAUUUAUGACGGUACCGACAGAAAAAGCACCGGCUAACUACGUGCCAGCAGCCGCGGUAAUA
RNAcentral lists this ribosomal RNA (195 nucleotides) under uncultured bacterium. RNAcentral's name for it is "partial 16S ribosomal RNA". It matches the Rfam family "Bacterial small subunit ribosomal RNA", at positions 338 to 525 of the family's 1533-position model. The record is from RNAcentral.